Molecule: ribosomal RNA, 492 nt
Filed under: uncultured bacterium
Lineage: Bacteria
Description: partial 16S ribosomal RNA
Rfam family: Bacterial small subunit ribosomal RNA
Source: RNAcentral
AGUGGACGCUGGCGGUAGGCCUAACACAUGCAAGUCGAACGGCAGCACAGUAAGAGCUUGCUCUUACGGGUGGCGAGUGGCGGACGGGUGAGGAAUACAUCGGAAUCUACUUUUUCGUGGGGGAUAAUGUAGGGAAACUUACGCUAAUACCGCAUACGACCUACGGGUGAAAGCAGGGGAUCUUCGGACCUUGCGCGAUUGAAUGAGCCGAUGUCGGAUUAGCUAGUUGGCGGGGUAAAGGCCCACCAAGGCGACGAUCCGUAGCUGGUCUGAGAGGAUGAUCAGCCACACUGGAACUGAGACACGGUCCAGACUCCUACGGGAGGCGGCAGUGGGGAAUAUUGGACAAUGGGCGCAAGCCUGAUCCAGCCAUACCGCGUGGGUGAAGAAGGCCUUCGGGUUGUAAAGCCCUUUUGUUGGGAAAGAAAAGCAGCAGGUUAAUACCCCGCUGUUCUGACGGUACCCAAAGAAUAAGCACCGGCUAACUUCGUG